This 432-nucleotide ribosomal RNA is filed under the name uncultured bacterium. RNAcentral describes it as "bacterial SSU rRNA". It matches the Rfam family "Bacterial small subunit ribosomal RNA", at positions 29 to 478 of the family's 1533-position model. The record is from RNAcentral.
AUUGAACGCUGGCGGCAGGCUUAACACAUGCAAGUCGAGCGCGAAAGGCUUUCGGGCUGAGUAGAGCGGCGGACGGGUGAGUAACGCGUAGGAAUCUACCUGGUAGUGGGGGACAACUUGGGGAAACUCAAGCUAAUACCGCAUACGCCCUAUGGGGGAAAGUGGGGGACCUUUGGGCCUCACGCUAUCGGAUGAGCCUGCGUAGGAUUAGCUUGUUGGUGAGGUAAUGGCUCACCAAGGCGACGACGGGUAGCCGGCCUGAGAGGGUGAACGGCCACACUGGGACUGAGACACGGCCCAGACUCCUACGGGAGGCAGCAGUGGGGAAUAUUGCGCAAUGGACGAAAGUCUGACGCAGCGACGCCUCGUGAGGGACGAAGGUCUUCGGAUUGUAAACCUCUUUCAGCAGGGACGAAGCGAAAGUGACGGUAC